GACGAACGCUGGCGGCGUGCUUAACACAUGCAAGUCGAACGAUGAAGCCGGAGCUUGCUCCGGUGGAUUAGUGGCGAACGGGUGAGUAACACGUGAGCAAUCUGCCCUUGACUCUGGGCUAACUGCGGGAAACUGUAGCUAAUACCGGAUACGACACCUUGGGGCAUCCCAGGGUGUGGAAAGAAUUUGGGUCAAGGAUGAGCUCGCGGCCUAUCAGCAAGUUGGUGAGGUAAUGGCUAACCAAGGCGACGAUGGGUAGCCGCCCUGCGAGGGUGACCAGCCACACUGGAACGGGGACAAGGUCCAGACUCCUACGGGAGGCAGCAGUGGGGAAUAUUGCACCAAGGGCGAAAGCCUGCUGCAGCAACGCCGCGUGAGGGAUGAAGGCCUUCGGGUUGUAAACCUCUUUUAGCAGGGAAGAAGCGAAAGUGACGGUACCUGCAGAAAAAGCACCGGCUAACUACGUGCCAGCCGCCGCGGUAA
This 483-nucleotide ribosomal RNA is filed under the name uncultured bacterium. RNAcentral describes it as "partial 16S ribosomal RNA". It matches the Rfam family "Bacterial small subunit ribosomal RNA", at positions 28 to 523 of the family's 1533-position model. The record is from RNAcentral.